GGCCGCGGGAAUUCCAUUUAAGCCUAACACAUGCAAGUCGAGCGGUAGAGAGAACCUUGCUUCUCUUGAGAGCGGCGGACGGGUGAGUAAUGCCUAGGAAUCUGCCUGGUAGUGGGGGAUAACGUUCGGAAACGGACGCUAAUACCGCAUACGUCCUACGGGAGAAAGCAGGGGACCUUCGGGCCUUGCGCUAUCAGAUGAGCCUAGGUCGGAUUAGCUAGUUGGUGAGGUAAUGGCUCACCAAGGCGACGAUCCGUAACUGGUCUGAGAGGAUGAUCAGUCACACUGGAACUGAGACACGGUCCAGACUCCUACGGGAGGCAGCAGUGGGGAAUAUUGGACAAUGGGCGAAAGCCUGAUCCAGCCAUGCCGCGUGUGUGAAGAAGGUCUUCGGAUUGUAAAGCACUUUAAGUUGGGAGGAAGGGCAGUUACCUAAUACGUGAUUGUUUUGACGUUACCGACAGAAUAAGCACCGGCUAACUCUGUGCCAGCAGCCGCGGUAAUACAGAGGGUGCAAGCGUUAAUCGGAAUUACUGGGCGUAAAGCGCGCGUAGGUGGUUAGUUAAGUUGGAUGUGAAAUCCCCGGGCUCAACCUGGGAACUGCAUUCAAAACUGACUGACUAGAGUAUAGUAGAGGGUGGUGGAAUUUCCUGUGUAGCGGGGAAAUGCGUAGAUAUAGGAAGGAACACCAGUGGCGAAGGCGACCACCUGCACUGAUACUGACACUGAGGUGC
RNAcentral lists this ribosomal RNA (734 nucleotides) under uncultured bacterium. RNAcentral describes it as "bacterial SSU rRNA". It matches the Rfam family "Bacterial small subunit ribosomal RNA", at positions 21 to 754 of the family's 1533-position model. The record is from RNAcentral.